This 269-nucleotide ribosomal RNA is filed under the name uncultured prokaryote. Its description in RNAcentral is "partial 16S ribosomal RNA". It matches the Rfam family "Bacterial small subunit ribosomal RNA", at positions 524 to 792 of the family's 1533-position model. The record is from RNAcentral.
UACGUAGGUGGCAAGCGUUGUCCGGAAUUACUGGGUGUAAAGGGUGCGCAGGCGGGCAGACAAGUCGGGUGUGAAAAAUCGAGGCUCAACCUCGAUCCUGCACUCGAAACUGUAGGUCUUGAGUGGUGGAGAGGUAAGUGGAAUUCCCAGUGUAGCGGUGGAAUGCGUAGAUAUUGGGAGGAACACCAGUGGCGAAGGCGACUUACUAGACACUAACUGACGCUGAGGCACGAAAGCGUGGGGAGCAAACAGGAUUAGAUACCCUGGUA